AGCCUGAUGCAGCGACGCCGCGUGGGGGAUGACGGCCUUCGGGUUGUAAACCCCUUUCAGCAGGGAAGAAGCGCAAGUGACGGUACCUGCAGAAGAAGCGCCGGCUAACUACGUGCCAGCAGCCGCGGUAAUACGUAGGGCGCAAGCGUUGUCCGGAAUUAUUGGGCGUAAAGAGCUCGUAGGCGGCUUGUCGCGUCGGUUGUGAAAGCCCGGGGCUUAACCCCGGGUCUGCAGUCGAUACGGGCAGGCUAGAGUUCGGUAGGGGAGAUCGGAAUUCCUGGUGUAGCGGUGAAAUGCGCAGAUAUCAGGAGGAACACCGGUGGCGAAGGCGGAUCUCUGGGCCGAUACUGACGCUGAGGAGCGAAAGCGUGGGGAGCGAACAGGAUUAGAUACCCUGGUAGUCCACGCCGUAAACGGUGGGCACUAGGUGUGGGCAACAUUCCACGUUGUCCGUGCCGCAGCUAACGCAUUAAGUGCCCCGCCUG
This 485-nucleotide ribosomal RNA is filed under the name Streptomyces kalpinensis. Its description in RNAcentral is "bacterial SSU rRNA". It matches the Rfam family "Bacterial small subunit ribosomal RNA", at positions 380 to 875 of the family's 1533-position model. Lineage: Bacteria; Bacillati; Actinomycetota; Actinomycetes; Kitasatosporales; Streptomycetaceae. The record is from RNAcentral.